RNAcentral lists this unclassified non-coding RNA (271 nucleotides) under uncultured fungus. Its description in RNAcentral is "sequence contains ITS1". The record is from RNAcentral. Lineage: Eukaryota; Fungi.
GUAUUUAAAGUUUUAAAGGCAUUCAAAGCCCAACAACAAACAUUCUGAGACAUACUAUAGGGGUGUAUAUAAACAUAGACCGGAGGUACAAGGAAAGCCGGCUUGCGCACGGCAAUCCUCAAAACCGAGUUUCCUCGAGAGAUAUCCAGGUCUACAAAAGGUGCACAGGUGGUAAAGGUUGGUUGUCAGGUGUGCACAUGCUCCGGAGAGCCAGCAACAACCCAACCAAGCUUAUUCAAUAAUGAUCCUUCCGCAGGUUCACCUACGGAAA